GACAGAGGGUGCAAACGUUGUUCGGAUUUACUGGGCGUAAAGCGUGUGUAGGCGGCUUUGUAUGUCGGAUGUGAAAGCCCACGGCUCAACCGUGGAAGUGCAUCCGAAACUGCAUAGCUUGAGUCCCGGAGAGGAAGGUGGAAUGCUUGGUGUAGAGGUGAAAUUCGUAGAUAUCAGGAAGAACACCCGUGGCGAAAGCGGCUCUCUGGAACGGUACUGACGCUGAGACGCGAAAGCGUGGGGAGCGAACAGG
RNAcentral lists this ribosomal RNA (253 nucleotides) under uncultured bacterium. RNAcentral describes it as "partial 16S ribosomal RNA". It matches the Rfam family "Bacterial small subunit ribosomal RNA", at positions 524 to 776 of the family's 1533-position model. The record is from RNAcentral.